RNAcentral lists this RNase P RNA (257 nucleotides) under Actinomycetota bacterium. RNAcentral describes it as "Actinobacteria bacterium partial RNase P RNA component class A". It matches the Rfam family "Bacterial RNase P class A", at positions 1 to 268 of the family's 367-position model. From Rfam's summary of the family: Ribonuclease P (RNase P) is a ubiquitous endoribonuclease, found in archaea, bacteria and eukarya as well as chloroplasts and mitochondria. The record is from RNAcentral. Lineage: Bacteria; Bacillati; Actinomycetota.
AGAGUCGUCUGGAUCAUCGCGUUAUUACUUGUAAUACCGAGGAAAGUCCGGACUCCAAAGAGCAAGGUGAUGGCUAACGGCCAUCCGGAGAAAUCCGCGGGAUUAGUGCCACAGAAAAUAAACCGCCAAGAAAUUGGUAAGGAUGAAACGGUGGUGUAAGAGACCACCAGCAUUUACGGCAACGUAUAUGGCUAGGUAAACCCCACCUGGAGCAAGACCAGAUUGUUAGCGUUUGAGAGCUGCUCGCUCGAGUUAAC